This 490-nucleotide ribosomal RNA is filed under the name uncultured bacterium. RNAcentral describes it as "partial 16S ribosomal RNA". It matches the Rfam family "Bacterial small subunit ribosomal RNA", at positions 29 to 507 of the family's 1533-position model. The record is from RNAcentral.
AAUGAACGCUCGCGGCAUGCCUUACACAUGCAAGUCGAACGGCAGCAUGACCUAGCUUGCUAGGUUGAUGGCGAGUGGCGAACGGGUGAGUAAUGCAUCGGAACGUGCCUUUUAGUGGGGGAUAACGUAGCGAAAGUUACGCUAAUACCGCAUAUUCUCUGAGGAGGAAAGCAGGGGACCUUCGGGCCUUGCGCUAGAAGAGCGGCCGAUGUCGGAUUAGCUAGUUGGUGAGGUAAAGGCUCACCAAGGCAACGAUCCGUAGCGGGUCUGAGAGGAUGAUCCGCCACACUGGGACUGAGACAAGGCCCAGACUCCUACGGGAGGCAGCAGUGGGGAAUUUUGGACAAUGGGCGCAAGCCUGAUCCAGCCAUGCCGCGUGAGUGAAGAAGGCCUUCGGGUUGUAAAGCUCUUUCGGCUGGGAAGAAAUCGCACCCUCUAAUACAGGGUGUGGAUGACGGUACCAGCAUAAGAAGCACCGGCUAACUACGUG